CCUACGGGAGGCUGCAGUGAGGAAUAUUGGUCAAUGGGCGCGAGCCUGAACCAUCCCAUUAUCUUUCCUGAUGACUGCCCUACGGGUUGUAAACUUCUUUUAUAAAGGAAUAAAGUGAGGCACGUGUGCCUUUUUGUAUGUACUUUAUGAAUAAGGAUCGGCUAACUCCGUGCCAGCAGCCGCGGUAAUACGGAGGAUCCGAGCGUUAUCUGGAUUUAUUGGGUUUAAAGGGAGCGUAGAUGGGUUGUUAAGUCAGUUGUGAAAGUUUGCGGCUCAACCGUAAAAUUGCAAUUGAUACUGGCAGCCUUGAGUACAGUUGAGGUAGGCGGAAUUCGUGGUGUAGCGGUGAAAUGCUUAGAUAUCACGAAGAACUCCGAUUGCGAAGGCAGCUUACUAAACUGCCACUGACAUUGAUGCUCGAAAGUGUGGGUAUCAAACAGGAUUAGAUACCCGUGUAGUC
RNAcentral lists this ribosomal RNA (460 nucleotides) under uncultured bacterium. RNAcentral describes it as "partial 16S ribosomal RNA". It matches the Rfam family "Bacterial small subunit ribosomal RNA", at positions 338 to 795 of the family's 1533-position model. The record is from RNAcentral.